UAGAUUGGCAAUAUUAAGAUCAUUUUAUUUCAAGCUUUAUGGAUUUUCAAAACACGUACAAAUAAAAUGCUUAUUACAAAAUUCCAUUUGCUAAAGUUUCUUCAGAAAUAUACAUGAAGCACGAUCCCAGCACAUAGGUAAGUGACUUUUACAGAGAGCAUUACAUGGAGCAAUAAAUGCUAGCGAAACAGCCAGUCUUUCCAGAUACAUUACAAUGAAAACAGUUUUCUUUCCCUUUGCCAUAUCCAACAUUUGAAUUUUAUUGUUUCUAAUAGCCAGGCCUGAAGUUACAAUGUGUAAGUAAACUGACCAUGGAAGUCAACAGGCACUCAGUAGCCCUGAAAGGGAGAUUAAGCAGUAUUUUUCAAGUUCACUAAUUCAGGGGUAAAAAUCCCUGAGACACAGAGAAACAACGAACUCAUUUUCUUUGAUGGAAAGAUGUUUGUCAAGGAUCAUUGCCAACAGACAGCCAUAAAGAUAAACUGUAAGAGUGAAGAGUGACAGUAAGACAGAGCAAGGAAACCAACCUGUAAUGCUUGGUAAUGAGGAAUGCUGUUGUGGGGCAGCAUGGGACUUCACCAAGGCUGCCUAAUUGCAAGAAAAGCAUUCAGCAGAAAUAUGUGCAGAGAUACAAAGCACAAGAUAUGUACAUGCUAACCUGUCAUUCAGAGGAGAAGCACUUUUAUAGUGAGUCAAAAACUUUAAUCCCACUUAAUUAUAAACACUAUACAACUGACCUCUAAAGUUAAGAUAGAAACAAGAACAAAAUAUUGCACCCCAAUUUCCAAGUCACCACCAGGACAUUUAUUACUUGAAGUCAGUAGAUUAAGAAACAUAGAUUCAUAUAUAUUUUCUGGCACUUGAUGCCAAUGCAGAUUUGCUCAACCACAAGUGUUUAAUAGACCAGGUCAUUGAGUUUUGUGCGACCUGAAAACUGAUCUCAGAGGCAGCAUGCCUCUGACCUUACAACUCCAGUCCCCAAGCUGCUGCUGGACAUCAAAACUGCUCUACUUUCCAUGAGUCAUACCCCAGCAGGGUCCUGUUCCUUGCUACAUGCUGUGACAAGGGUCCCUGACUACAUCCUUUUCCUUAAGCCUAUUGCACAUACAGAAGUUGCUCCAUUGAAUUAUGAUGCCAUGCUGAUUUUCAAUGCUAUUUAACAUGUAGGCAGGUCAAGCUAGCUAGAUCAAAUACAAGCUCACCCACACUAUUCACUAAGGCUGACCCAAGCCUUCAGAAUGAAGAUUCAGUACUUCCAGGCUUUUAAAACAUCCAAAGCAUUAAGAAGCCUGUUACAGCUGACAGAUAUCAAAUACCACAAUAAGCAGCACUUGGAGAAAAGUGUGGCAUAAAUAGUGAAAGCAAGUCAAAACAGACUUCAGCCUAAUCUAAACAUCUAAUCCUAAAGGUUAUUAUAGGUUUCACGACCAGUAUACUUAGCGUAUGAUCAGCUACAAGUUUAGAACCAUUAGCAACUAAACAAGUUGUAAGAGCAACCUUUACAUUCUGACCUAAAGAUCUAUAAAUUACCACUGUGGAGGGAUGAUCUAGUUCAAAAUCAGAUUAUCUUUAAACUAACUAGAAAGCAAUUGCCAUGCUUAUGCAAGGCCCUUGCGCUAGCCACGCUUGCUCAGGACCAGGGCGAGACUCUAAAAAACACAUGUUGAUAGCAUAUGCCCUGUGCUAUUUUAAUAUUGAAUUUCUUUUUAUUACUUAUUACUCUUACUACUACUAAGAAGACAGUAGUUAAGCUGAGCUACCCCAGCCCCUCUUCAGCCCAGCUGUGUAACCAGCUAUGUGCUUGGUUUACCAGAAUGGGAGUAGCAAGUUCUCAGAGAUUUGCUGAUAUGUUACCUCAUCAAAAGGCCUUAUGAGAACAGCAGCUACGCAGGAGGAACACAUCACCUUUCCCAGCAAGGCAUUCUCCAGUGUGCUUAUUCUGGGGAAGACACAUCAAACUGUUACAACAGUCUGAUAUGGUAUAACUUUCCCUCUAAAAAGCCAUUAUAUUGGGGCAUUUGUUCCACAUACGGAUGUGCAUUUUUACUGAGGGACUGCUAUUCCAAUUCUCUAAAUGGACUCUCCAGACUUCAGGCUUUUGUGCUAGAUUUAGGUCACCAGUAAUUGGACAUGUGUGAAAAAUGCACAGGCUCAGUUCAGUGUUGCUUAGUUAAUUUCUUAGUCUGUUGAUUUGGCAGUUGUCCUACAAAACAGAACAGUUGGAUAUUUAAACUUGCAUUGAAGAAUACAUUAUGACAAUAGCAAGCCUCCCAAAAAACAAGCCCAACUCUUCCCGUACUAGUGAAAUAAAUAUUUUAAAUUGCUGGGAGUACAAAGCAAAAUGAGUUUUAGUUCCUCAAGUAAGACUAUCAGCUUGAUAAAUUGAAAGGAAUUAUUUCUUUUCUAUAGCAUUCAGAUUGGGAAAGAGAUCAAGCACAGCACCAAACAUAGAAACUCAAAGACUUUACACCAAGACCUUCUCAAGACAAAAAGCACUGAAUUGACAGGUGCCAAAGUUGCGCAACUGAUGGCGCAGAAUCAACUACAGCAACUUCCUAUCUGGGACAUUAUAUUCCCAAGCAACUGGUGAGUGUAACCACACAUUACUGCCACAGCAGAAAGAGUUCUGUGUGUUAUUUGAGCUGUACCAGGCACCUUUCAGUAUUGUAAGGGUUCUCAGAGCAGCACAUCCAUGAAGAUGACAAACUGAAAUAAGAAUUAAAUUUUAUUCUGCUCCCAAGCAGCUUCUGCCACAGUUUUUUUUAGCCAGGUUCCUUGAUGUUUUUUAAACCCUUCCUGAAGGACACAGAACAGCCCCACUGUGCUGAGUCCUAGCCAUCCUGCCAAGGUUUCU
RNAcentral lists this long non-coding RNA (2854 nucleotides) under Strigops habroptila (Kakapo). Its description in RNAcentral is "lncRNA (ENSSHBG00005013386.1)". Lineage: Eukaryota; Metazoa; Chordata; Aves; Psittaciformes; Psittacidae. The record is from RNAcentral.